GAGAGUGUAGCUCAGUGCUAGAGUGCCUGCCUAGCAUGCAUGAGGUCCUGGGUUCAAUCCCCAGUACUUCCA
Molecule: transfer RNA, 72 nt
Filed under: Camelus bactrianus (Bactrian camel)
Lineage: Eukaryota; Metazoa; Chordata; Mammalia; Artiodactyla; Camelidae
Also listed under: 2 other names
Rfam family: tRNA
About the family: Transfer RNA (tRNA) molecules are approximately 80 nucleotides in length.
Source: Rfam by way of RNAcentral